Trichechus manatus latirostris (Florida manatee) is the source of this 1153-nucleotide long non-coding RNA. RefSeq lists it as uncharacterized. The transcript is spliced from 3 exons. The record is from RefSeq and is a predicted model, not a curated record. Lineage: Eukaryota; Metazoa; Chordata; Mammalia; Sirenia; Trichechidae.
AGAACUGGGUCCAUUCCAUAGAGUUUUCAGAGGCUGUGAUCUUUUGGAAGUAGAUUGCCGGGGCUUUUUUCCAAGGCAUCUCAGUUUGAGUUUAAACUGCUAACUUUUCAGUUAGAAGCAGAGCGCUUAGUUGUUUAUACCAGCCAGAGACUCCCGUUUAAGUACAAAUAUGUGUAAUUGGCAGGAAGGAGUUGACAUGUUGAGCAAUGACUUCCCCAUUAUAUAGAGGUUAGUUUAUCAGUUUCCUUACAGAAAGCUGGAGCCUGAUAGCACAAGGCAGACAAGUUUUGACAGCGAGAGUGAGUGAGGAAACAUCAGGAUGGGGCGGCAGUGGAGGAUGAGGCAUCCCAGGAAGACCUCAGGCCUCCAGGAGCACUCGUGCUGGGCAUCAGAGAGAGAAGGCACCACCCAGAAGGCUGAGCGUUGGCUUCAGAUGGAGAGGGCAAGCAGCAACUGACCUCUGCUGCCCAAUGACAUCGCAUCGGAAACCAAUCCCAGGAAGGAAUGCCUCGAAGAGCCUCCUCUCCCCUGCACCCCUCCAUUAGAGGCCCGGCAUCAUGGGGAUUUACCUUGUCUGCAGAAUCCCUCUCCAGCGUCCAAGUUAGCGUAAUCUUCAUUCUGACUUCAUGAUCUGCAUGUCGAAGCACGUCUUACAUUCAUCUUUGCACUUUUCCUCCUUGGGGAUGCUACUGGAGGUCAGGAGUCAGCCCAGGAUUUAAAUGUCCCUACCCGGCUUCCUAGAGAGGAAUUAAUGGUAAAAAUCUCUGGUUCUUUCCUAACUGCUUUACUUCUUUUAUUUGCUUUCCAACCUCACUUUUCUCCUUUUCCAAUUAUUCCCAACAAACAAUUUACUUAUACAGAAUUUCUUAUGGUUCAUAAAGAGGUAUCCAGAAGUCAGUUCAUGGAAAAUAGAGCUCCAUAUUAGGGAAACUUAGGAUAGGGAGGGGGUAUGCAUGUGCAGUUCCUAAAUAGAUCAUAAUGUUCCAUAUCUAGGGGUCCCCUGGGGAUCUGUGGGUGGCACAAUAGGUUGUGCUAGACUACUAACCUAAAGCCUGGUGGUUUGAACCCAUUCAGCAGUGCCACAGAAGAAAGACCUGGAGAUCUGCUUCUGUAAAGAUUACAGCCAAGAAAAAUCUAUGAAGCAGUUCUACUC